RNAcentral lists this transfer RNA (76 nucleotides) under Acidobacteriota bacterium. RNAcentral's name for it is "Acidobacteria bacterium tRNA-Thr". It matches the Rfam family "tRNA". From Rfam's summary of the family: Transfer RNA (tRNA) molecules are approximately 80 nucleotides in length. Their secondary structure includes four short double-helical elements and three loops (D, anti-codon, and T loops). The record is from RNAcentral. Lineage: Bacteria; Pseudomonadati; Acidobacteriota. RNAcentral also lists the same sequence under 2 other names.
GCCGUUGUAGCUCAGUUGGUAGAGCAGCUGAUUCGUAAUCAGCAGGUCGCCGGUUCGAGUCCGGCCAACGGCUCCA